GACGAACGCUGGCGGCGUGCCUAAUACAUGCAAGUAGAACGCUGAAGGGAGAGCUUGCUCUUCUGGAUGAGUUGCGAACGGGUGAGUAACGCGUAGGUAACCUGCCUGGUGGCGGGGGAUAACUAUUGGAAACGAUAGCUAAUACCGCAUAACAGCAAAUGUUGCAUGACAUUUGCUUAAAAGGUGCAAUUGCAUCACUACCAGAUGGACCUGCGUUGUAUUAGCUAGUUGGUGGGGUAACGGCUCACCAAGGCGACGAUACAUAGCCGACCUGAGAGGGUGAUCGGCCACACUGGGACUGAGACACGGCCCAGACUCCUACGGGAGGCAGCAGUAGGGAAUCUUCGGCAAUGGACGGAAGUCUGACCGAGCAACGCCGCGUGAGUGAAGAAGGUUUUCGGAUCGUAAAGCUCUGUUGUAAGAGAAGAACGAGUGUGAGAGUGGAAAGUUCACACUGUGACGGUAUCUUACCAGAAAGGGACGGCUAACUACGUGCCAGCAGCCGCCGUAA
This 511-nucleotide ribosomal RNA is filed under the name uncultured bacterium. RNAcentral's name for it is "partial 16S ribosomal RNA". It matches the Rfam family "Bacterial small subunit ribosomal RNA", at positions 28 to 523 of the family's 1533-position model. The record is from RNAcentral.